Molecule: long non-coding RNA, 3245 nt
Organism: Heterocephalus glaber (naked mole-rat)
Lineage: Eukaryota; Metazoa; Chordata; Mammalia; Rodentia; Bathyergidae
Source: Ensembl
AUUUGGGUUUCUAAAGGGCUGUUUCAAAAAAAAAUAAGCCAGGGAACUUUAAAAGUAGGCAGUGCUGUAGUACUACAUUUCUUAGAACAUUUUAAACUAGCACUCAUUUUUUUCAGUCUAUUUACUUGAAGAAGCACUAUUAUAAUCAAAGAAAAUUUUUGAGUGGGCAAUUUAACUUAAAGGUUUUCCGUUUCAAAUUGCUUUAUUUCAGGGAAAUAAUUUUCCAGUUGUUUUUGCUAUAUUCUGCAAAUAAAAACUGUUUCCUUUUUCACUUAAACUUUGGUAGGAAACAAACUAAAGCAGACAAACAUUUCCUGUUAUGUUUGUUGCUUUCUUUAAUCCAAUGGAUAAAAAAGUAAAACCCUGUAAACAUUAUUUUAUUUUUUUUAUGCAAUACCAUGCUGUAAAUAUGGUUCAAGUAAGGAUGUACCUAUGAUUGAAUCUUUAAUUCUGCACAGUUAGAGUUUAUAUAUAAACGUGUCUUGACAAUCAAGGACUUUCAUGCGAGUCUUCCUUUAUGAUGUUUAUUAUUGUUAUGCAUUCCAUUUGUUUUGAAGUGAGUACCAUUGUGCUAAUUUGUAUUGUCUGAAAGUAUGUAAUGUUUUUACAGCUUGUUUUUAAGAAUCUGUAAAUAUGUACAAACCACAGUACUGCUUUAUGUUAGAAGGCAUAUGAUGUUGUACUGUAAGCAAUAAUACACAGCAGUGCUAACUUUACAAGUAGCAUCAGGAACGUUCUAAAAACAUUUCAGAGUUGUUAAUUAUCCUUAUUUCAUUUAAUAAUGAUUAUCUUUAAUCAGUUUUUAUAAGCAGAUUCCAUUGUUCCUCCUGUUGGAACGUAACACUGUUUACACAGCAUAAUUGACGCUGCAGGGGGGACAGGCUAGAUCUGGCUUAUCUGCGCUCACUCUCACUAAGCAUUGAAUGGCCUUACCACUCUUCUGCAAGAUGGAGGAAGACCGCACACAUAGUGCCCAUCACACUGAAGGAAGGGAUGUGGGUUUUUUCCUGCUUCUGUACUGCUACCUAACUUUGUGGUUUGCUUUGGAUUUUAAUAUUUGUUUCUGUUUUAGAUUCAAGCCCGUAAGUUUUGAGGUGAAUUCAGCUCCAUUGUGAAAUAGAUAGUUCUCUUCAUAUUUCAUAGCUACAUUUCAAUAAUUCUAGACUUUCUACUUUGGUUUUUAGAUACUUAUUUUUCAAGCUUGAUUUCUCAGCUGAUCAGAUGAGUUUAUUCAACUUCAAUACAAAGAAAAACAAAAUUGUAGUUUGAAGUGAGUAAUAUACUGUACAGAACAGCUAUUUGAACACACACAUCACUGCUUUAGAGAUAAAACCGCCAAUUUAUAAAUGUAUAUGACUUACAUUUUAUAGGAGAAAUGUUUUUAAAAUGCUAGUCAUUUAUAUAAUGUGCUUUGAAGGAUUUGCUAGUCCACUUCUGUCACUUUUUAGUACACUGGUAUCUUUUAUAUGUAAUGUAUGCUUUUUAUUAUUGUAGCAAAGCAUUUCAGUAGAAAGAAUUUUGCAAAAAUAUGGGGGAAAUUUUUCAUUGUUGGAUUUGAAUUAUACUGGAUUUUAUCUGUGUAGUCUUACUUGUCUUUAUUUUAAUGCUGUUUGGAAGGGAACUUGGUAUCCAAAUAAAGCAGGUAACCUCAUUUUACUUCAAGGGCAUACUGUGUAGUGCUGAAUUUAAUCUGGAAAUCAGAUGAUUUUGAAAAGAAAAACAAGUUUAUAAAAAUUGUACAGGAGAAAUUAAAUGUGUGAUGGAAAUCCUGAUGAUGGAGAACGUUGAAUUUUCUGAUACAUAGUAUUAUUUUCUUGGGAUCCCCUAUGACUUCUUUGUAUUUCAGCUAAUAAAAGAAAAACUCUGCCAUUGAAACUGGUAGGCUAAUAGGAUGUUCAGAUUAUACAGUAUUACUUUUCCUAUCCCAUUUUUGACCCUUUCUCAAUCACUGUAAAUUUUUAUUUUCUAUUUCCUAUUGAUAAUUAAAUAUGUACAUAAUAUAGAUACUGUUGUAUAGAACUGAAUGAAUUGGGUUGCUGUGCUUGAAUGGGUAGCUAACUGAAAAUACUUCACGAAUACUGAGAAUUCAUAAAAUGCCAGAGCAAAUUGUUGAGAGGAAAGAGGGCACCGUGUGUCCUGGGAAGGUCACAGCAGAUUGUGUCAGCAAUUCCAUAGAGUAAAGUAGAGGAAUCAGCUGUAAACCCAGUAUUGGACACAAACUGGGUCUUCACUUCCCUUCCUUCCCCAGAAAGAUAGCACUAAAUUUCAAAAUCUACUCAGGUGAAAAAGGUGUUUUCAAAGCCGACCUGUUCUCUAAGAAGUUUGAUGAGUUUCACGACUUUUGGCACUAUUGUCCUUAGUUAACUUUGCCAUUUGAAGUUUAUAAUACCAUUUUAUGUAUUGUGAUACUAAAGGAAAUUGUUUUGCUUUAUUUUAAAUUGAAUUAUUAGACUAACUUAUAUUUGCAAAUUCUGCAUUUUAAAUGUGGACACUGGCUGUUUGAAAAAUAAAAUACAGAAAUCAGUUUUACAAAUAAUUUUCUAGAUGAAUUUUUCAUAAUACUUUGAGCCAAAUAACUAAUGGUAAAUAUGCAAAAAUUGUGGUACAUAGAUAAGAAAAUAGGAUGUCUGUAUGGAGUUAGCAGUUACACAAAUUGAGUAAUAAUUAUCAGGGCCUUUAUUGUAGCUUUGUGUGGAAUAUUAUUUAUUAGACAGUUCUAAAAUGCAAGAGUCAAGUGUUACUGUCAUGGAAUAUUUAGGCUGGAAAUAUUUUUAAACAUGAAAAUAAGAAUAUAUGUAUUUUUUCUUUAUAGAUAAGAUUUUAUCAAUGCACUGGCAAUAGUGUACAUGGGAUUUUUUUUCCCCUUUCAUUAGUGUAGGUAGCUUUGUUUCAUCCAUCUACCACUCUGCCAGUACCUUAUCUUGUGACAAGACGCAUUGUGAGAAAGCUGUCUGUAGCCAACAGUCCAGCCUGGGUCCAUGGAAAAUUAAACUAACUGGCCCUUGCGGGGAUCAGUCCUCGGGCCCAGGUUUCUUAGCAUGGCAACGCCGUAACCAAAUGUACGUGGUGAUGCUACUGACAGUCUACUAGCUUAUUUCCUCCAUCCCAGUUCCUGACUGAUUCAAAUGGGUGGGGAGAUACACUCUACAUGACACUUCUCCCUGCCUCUGAAGAUGAUAUAAAAAAAAUAAAAUUGAAGUCACUUGAAUUAAUAUGUUGUCACCGAGUCUUACUUGACAAUUCAU